This 665-nucleotide ribosomal RNA is filed under the name uncultured bacterium. RNAcentral's name for it is "bacterial SSU rRNA". It matches the Rfam family "Bacterial small subunit ribosomal RNA", at positions 66 to 726 of the family's 1533-position model. The record is from RNAcentral.
GCGGUAGAGAGAAGCUUGCUUCUCUUGAGAGCGGCGGACGGGUGAGUAAUACCUAGGAAUCUGCCUGAUAGUGGGGGAUAACGUUCGGAAACGGACGCUAAUACCGCAUACGUCCUACGGGAGAAAGCAGGGGACCUUCGGGCCUUGCGCUAUCAGAUGAGCCUAGGUCGGAUUAGCUAGUUGGUGAGGUAAUGGCUCACCAAGGCUACGAUCCGUAACUGGUCUGAGAGGAUGAUCAGUCACACUGGAACUGAGACACGGUCCAGACUCCUACGGGAGGCAGCAGAGGGGAAUAUUGGACAAUGGGCGAAAGCCUGAUCCAGCCAUGCCGCGUGUGUGAAGAAGGUCUUCGGAUUGUAAAGCACCUUAAGUUGGGAGGAAGGGCAGUUACCUAAUACGUGACUGUCUUGACGUUACCGACAGAAUAAGCACCGGCUAACUCUGUGCCAGCAGCCGCGGUAAUACAGAGGGUGCAAGCGUUAAUCGGAAUUACUGGGCGUAAAGCGCGCGUAGGUGGUCUGUUAAGUUGAAUGUGAAAUCCCCGGGCUCAACCUGGGAACUGCAUCCAAAACUGGCAAGCUAGAGUAUGGUAGAGGGUAGUGGAAUUUCCUGUGUAGCGGUGAAAUGCGUAGAUAUAGGAAGGAACACCAGUGGCGAAGGCGACU